UCUCAGUCGUUAAUGUGGUCUCGAGCUUCUUGGUGUGUCAGCAUAACUUUGAAUACUAACUUUUGUUUGUUUUAAUCUGGUGCAGGUCUGUCAUUGAAGUUCGUAAUGGCCUGACUUUCCUUGACCUUAUAGUUAAGCAAAUUGAGAGCCUUAACAGCAAGUAUGGAUCCAAAGUGCCUUUGGUUCUGAUGAACUCAUUCAACACAUAUGAUGAUACACUUAAGGUAAAGUACCCUUUUUUUUAUGUUCCGUGCUGUUAGUCUUUUAUCUUGUGGAGCAUCUUUUCAAGACUUCAAACUCAUUGCAUACAGAUUGUUGAAAAAUACACCAAUUCAAAUGAUGAGAUUCACACAUUUAAUCAGAGUCAAUACCCUCGGCUGGUUGUUGAAGAUUUCUCGACAUUUCCAUGCAAAGGUCAAUCCGACAAGGAUGGAUGGUAUUAUUUUACGCUGAUAUUGGCCUCAAUUAUUUGCAUGUUGUGUUUGUUGAAUGUAGAUGCUUAUAAUCUAUCUCAUCUCAUAUAUGUUCUGUAUUUGGUAUAAAAUUUGAUCUGAUGGAAUAAAUAUGUACUUUCUUUUGUUGAAUUAAAUGUUUGAUUUUGGGAGGUGGGUUUUAGAAAUUAAGAGCAAAUAUUGCCUGGUUUUUUUAAUUUUGGUUGAUAUGCUUCUAUUUGUGGGUUAUGACUUUUGACUGUGAAAUUGAGUUGAUUGUGAAAAAUUCAUGUCUAACUGAGUAACUGCAUCUAUAGCUAAUUCUUUCACUUAUAUAUUUGAGGGAAUUUUUUUCUUCAAAAAAAAAAAAUCUAAGGAAUUUUUAAUUUUUUGUAUAUUUUUAGUAUGUUAGUCAGAGUAGGAGAGAAAUGGGGAGAGGAGAGAAAACCGGUAUGGGGCUCACCAUUGUUAAAUAGCUAAAUGAAAAAAUCAUGAACCAAUAACGAUGUGAUUUGAGUUUAGGAUGUAUUAAAAGUCUAAAUUAUUGAUUUAAUCCCUAAACGAUGGUGAUUUUUCUUGGAAAGUGGAAGUUUUGCUUGUUAUGUUAGGGUGAUCAUAUUAAGCUAGUGGUACAUUUGGUAGUAUUUUAGAAUCAAGAGUAUUAUUGUGUUGAACUAUAGAUUAUGCUUAGUAACUCGAUUUUAGUUUAAGAUGUACA
Chenopodium quinoa (quinoa) is the source of this 1149-nucleotide long non-coding RNA. RefSeq lists it as uncharacterized. NCBI's taxonomy places the organism in Eukaryota, Viridiplantae, Streptophyta, Magnoliopsida, Caryophyllales, Amaranthaceae. The record is from RefSeq and is a predicted model, not a curated record. The transcript is spliced from 3 exons.